Molecule: unclassified non-coding RNA, 489 nt
Filed under: Hevea brasiliensis (rubber tree)
Lineage: Eukaryota; Viridiplantae; Streptophyta; Magnoliopsida; Malpighiales; Euphorbiaceae
Source: RNAcentral
GGGGAACAGACCUCAUAGAAUCCUGCAUAAGCUGUAAGACCAGGCAUACCAAGAAGACCCAGGUUAAAUGAAAGAGGAAUAUCAUCUUGCUGAACUCUCCUCAAUUGCUCAGGCUUCUGAAUCAAGCUGUAUUCUUCAUAAAUCCCCAAAACUAAAUCCCCAGGCUUGAAAUCUGGAUUAUCAGAAGCCACAACCUUUGAUACGCCGAAUCCUUGUAUGGGCUGGCCAGGGACAAAGGGAGGAAUGUAAGAGCCAUGGUAGUCACGCAUGCGACCUCUCAUGUAGGGGUCACAAGACAGGUAGAGAUUCUUCACCAAGAAAGCUCCUGACCCUUUUGGUGUUUUGACCUCAACAGUCCCAAUUCUCACUUCCAUGUCUGUCUCUCUUGGUGCCCUCUCUACAUAGCCCUUGAAUAUCACCUGCUUGUUUUCUACUGCUACUUCUUCCAUUUUGAUCAAUCAAAAAUGGCCACUUCAAUUUACUUCCCCG